GAGUCGCGGUGGCGCGUUCGGAUGGGCUUCCCGGGAUCGGGGCCGUCCAGGACGCGAGAUUCCGUUUCGCCUGACGCAUUUGUCUCUCGUCCGAAGGACGCCGCAGUCGGUCGGGCAGCGCAAGCGCGACGGCCUGAGGGGCGGACGACGGCAGGUGGCCGGUGGCACUCCUCGCGGAGGGUCGCCGGUUGUUAGCCGGUCCGCCAGUGGCACGUCGCUCGACCGAGGUAUCACGAGGCCCUCCGGGGCUCUCGCGUCUCCUCCGCCAAAACGGAAGUCGGGACAGACCGUCGCAAGCGAAGGCCGCCGUCCCGCCGCACUCCCUCGGAGUGGGCGGGCGAACGGUCGGCGCCGAUGGCGACGGCGGGCCCGUCGGAGGCUGGAGUCUGGCGGCGAGUAGGUCGGUCACCCACCCGACCCGUCUUGAAACACGGACCAAGGAGUCUAACAUGUGCGCGAGUCAAUGGGUCUUGAACAGGCCCAGGGGCGCAAUGAAAGCAAAGGUCUGCGCACGCAGACCGAGUUGGGAUCCCCCGGCGAGAGCCGGGGGCGCACCAACGACCCGUCCUAUGCGGCUCGCCGCUUGGGCGGAGUGUGAGCGUACACGUUGGGACCCGAAAGAUGGUGAACUAUGCCCGGACAGGACGAAGCCAGA
Molecule: ribosomal RNA, 655 nt
Filed under: Senoculus sp. DP-2014
Lineage: Eukaryota; Metazoa; Arthropoda; Arachnida; Araneae; Senoculidae
Description: eukaryotic LSU rRNA
Rfam family: Eukaryotic large subunit ribosomal RNA (bases 435-655)
Source: RNAcentral